GGGAGGAAUAUUGCACAACGGGGGGAACCCAGGUGCAGCAACGCCGCGUGAGUGAAGAAGGCCUUCGGGUCGUAAAACUCUUUUCUGUGGGAUGAGGAAGGACAGUACCACAGGAAUAAGUCUCGGCUAAUUACGUGCCAGCAGCCGCGGUAAGACGUAAGAGGCGAGCGUUAUCCGGAUUUACUGGGCGUAAAGGGCAAGUAGGCGGUAGAGCAAGUCAGUUGUGACAGAUCCCGGCUUAACUGGGAGAGGACGAUUGAGACUGUUUGACUAGAGGACAGGAGAGGGAAGCGGAAUUCCUUGUGUAGCGGUGGAAUGCUCAGAUACAAGGAGGAACACCAGUGGCGAAGGCGGCUUUCUGGCCUGGUCCUGACGCUGAAGAGCGAAAGCUAGGGGAGCAAACGGGCUUAGAAACCCGUGUAGUCC
RNAcentral lists this ribosomal RNA (426 nucleotides) under uncultured bacterium. RNAcentral describes it as "bacterial SSU rRNA". It matches the Rfam family "Bacterial small subunit ribosomal RNA", at positions 354 to 796 of the family's 1533-position model. The record is from RNAcentral.